Mus musculus (house mouse) is the source of this 3301-nucleotide long non-coding RNA. RefSeq lists it as uncharacterized. The transcript is spliced from 2 exons. The record is from RefSeq and is marked validated. NCBI's taxonomy places the organism in Eukaryota, Metazoa, Chordata, Mammalia, Rodentia, Muridae.
CCCCACACACACACCAGGAGAGAGCGAGGAUACCACGGUGGCCAAAUGGGAGUGAUACCAUCGCGGGGCAUCUUCUGGCGUCAGAGGACUGUAGGGUCUAGGGAAUGAGCAGUGUGGUUUGGGGCUGCCAAGGGAGGACCCCUGCGGUCCAGGAGAAAAGAACUGAGAUCCUAGGACUCGCAAAGCCCCGGAAGGGGAGAGUGAAUAAACACAGAACGGGGCCUCACCCUCCCUGCACUAUUCUCCCCCAGCCCGUCGCCUGCAGUUCCGGAAAGUUAACCCCUUGGAGGCCAAGCCUGGGGUUACGUACUCCCCUACCCAACCCUGCUUCCGCGUGCGCACCCUCCUCCCGCUCCAACUCCCUGUCGCUUCGUCCCGCCCUCCCCUACGCCCCCCCUCCCCGCUUGCCACUAUAAAUAGCCUCUUUUCCCGUUUCCUAAAUUCUCUGCUGACGUCGGCAGCGCGUCAGUGUGUAGGAGCCGCGGCCGCAUGAAUGAGCCGCCGCACGAGUACUACGCGCGCCUAUAAAAGCGGCGGCGCCGGCCGGGCUGCGGGAGGCAAGCCGGCACUGGUGCGACGCGGCCCGACAGCACCUGCCGGCACCCAAAUGCAGACGCAGACACUAUGGAGAAACAUCAAGCGGAGAGCCGAGCCCCCGACCCCAUUUCCCGAGGCUGAGCAGCUCCUGCGCCAUCCUUUCAAGAAAGUGGGGAGAAGGUGCUGGCGUCUCAGGAGACGCGCCCCCUCAUUUCUCCCCUGUCCGCAGAGCGGUGACUCAGCCUAGAUGGCCCCGACUGACUGAGCCAGGGCGCCCACGACAGACAGACGCACACCUCGGCCCUGCGGCUUUCUUGGGACCCCCGUCCUGCAUGCUCCACACACGCCCCUUCCCUGUCCCGUCCCUUCCCGUCCGGUCCCGUCCCGUCCCAUCGGACUGUCCCACUGAGCUCAGGACUUCCCGCCUCUGCAAGCGGAGCUGUCCUCUCAGGACCAGGCGGGGGCGGGGCUUCGAUCAGGCCGCCCCGCCCUACCCCCACCGCUCCCCACCGCCGGAAAUGCCUCCCCGCUGGGACAUCUUUGACGUCACAGGACUCUGACGUCACGGUCGCGUGUCUGUCCGCGCGCGCUUGGGAGGAGGUGGGGGGGCCUGAGAAGCAGCAGCACUCUCAACUGCGGGCGACGGGAUAUCCCCGCCCGGGCAGCGCGCCGGCACCUUGGCUCUAGACUGCUUACUGCCCGGGCCGCCUUCAGUAACAGUCUCCAGUCACGGCCACCGACGCCUGGCCCCGCCCCAGGACCGCCGACCCCCGGCCCCUCCACGCCUCCCUGCGCCGCUGUCCGCGGUGCUGAUGCAGUGCAAGCGCCUCCCUCGGGCACGCCUGUUCAAGGUCCCUGUGGGUUGCGGUGGGCGCAGGCCCCGCAGACACUCGCGCCACCCCCGCCGCCCGCGGUGCUGACGUCAGCCUGCAAGCCCCGCCCCCGCGUCUCCAGGGCAACCGUGGCUUUCGAUUGUUACUGUGGGAACCGGAGGUAACAGUCUACAGCCAUGGUCGCCCCGCAGCACGCCCACGCUCCCCACCACUCCCGAGUUCUGCCAGCCUGGGUUUGGGCAGAUACAGAGCAAGAGGAGGCGGGGCGGCGACGCAACAUUCGAUGUGUCUGCGGAGGUGGCAAGAGGUGUGCUCAGAAAGGCGGCCUUUCAGGCUGCUGUGCAUCUACCUCGGUGCAGAAGCAAGAUCCGCGGAGUGUCUGAACAUCCUCCUCAGAGACUCUCCUGUCUUCCUAGUCGAGGUAUCGCUGCCUAAGGUGGCGAGAAAAUGGGUGGUUCUGCGAUAAGGAUUCUUAUCUCAUGAGUGGUGAACCGAUGGGAUCAGGAGUCCUGUGAGAAGGAAGAAGUCACUUUUGCCAGCAGAAAGCUGAAGGGGGAGGAGAAGGAAGUUUUAUCACACCUUUCUUCCAGAAAACCCUAGGUGAGCAGGUAGAGGGGAAAGGGCAAAGAAUCCCUUUCCUGAUAGAGCCAUAACUCUGUCCCCCAACUUUCUCCUGGGCCAUCAUUAAAAGGGUCCUUAACACAGCAAGAAGCUGGCAGGCUAGUGAAAUUCACCUGGCCCCUAAUUCAUUGUCUGAAGGUAUCAGCCAGCAGUCUUCCCUCAACUGGUCUGUAAGUAAUGCAUCCCAACUUGAGAUCUUCAAACGUGCCCCCAAAAGGAGUACAACCACAGAGACUGCACGUAAAUACUCUCUGUGGCUAGGGCUGUUGAGAGACUCUGUCUGAUAGGGUAGAAAUCCUGAGUGUAAUCAAGAUGCAGAAAACAAAUAGCAGGGAUAAUUUGAAAAGAGGACAGCCGGACAGUGGUGGCGCACGCCUUUAUUCCCAGCACUCGGGAGGCAGAGACAGGCAGAUUUCUGAGUUCGAGGCCAGCCUGGUCUACAAAGUGAGUUCCAGGACAGCCAGGGCUAUACAGAGAAGCCCUGUCGUCUCGAAAAAAACCAAAAAAAAAAAAAAAAAAAAAAAAAAAAAAAAAAAGAAAAAAGAAAAAAAGAAAAGAGGACCUUUUGCAGAUGGAACCCAUCAGAAGAUGUGGUUAGAAGGUUGACUAUAUAAUGCUUUGAGUGUUCGUUGUCCUAGAAAACAUUUAGUGUAAACCAUGCCUUCUUUCCCAACUUUACACAUUAGAAAGCAGAAGCCCAGGUUGGGCAUUUAGCCUAUAGAGAGCGGUAGUUUUUGCUUGCUUUUUACUGGACAGCAGAAAGACCAACCAAAACCAGGAGCUGCAGUGUAUACCUGCAGUCCCAGUUGCUCAGGAGCCUAGACAAUAAAUAUGAGAUAAAUAUGAGAUUCGUGUCUCAAAGGGGGGGGGGAUGAUGACAACAGACAAGAAUAUGGGGCUUUUGAGUCUGAAUCAUCCAAUUUUGAGUAAGGUACUUAGCCUUUCUGUGCCUGUUUCCUCAAUUGUAAGACUCAGUUAUUAGGUUAAUGACAGUACUUUUUCAUGAAAUUAGACAAUGGGGGGGGGGGGGGACAGGGGUGCUGGGCAUAGAGCUCAGUAGUAGGUCUGUGCUUAGCAUGCCUAAGGUCCUGGGUUUGAUCCCAGCACCAAAAAUAAAUGAGUUAGGCUAUGGUAGAGCAUGCUCUGAAUACCAGAUCUUGGGAGACAGAGAUAAGUGGAUUUCUGUGAGUUCAAGGAUAACCAGAACUUCCGUGAGACCCCCGUCUCAAAAAUAAGUUAGAUGACAGGCUUCUAUUUGUCUCAUUGUCUGGUAUAGUUAAUUCUCAAUAAAUGUUAUUUCUACCUCUGGA